GAGAGGGUGAGGGCUCAACCUUGGCAGAAAAAGCCCCUGAGAAACCCUGAGAACACUGGCCGUGACGCUGGAAACACUCUUCUGGCAGAAGCUGAAAGAGACGGCCUGGCUCUAAGCAGGCUUAAGAGGCUCAUCAGCCCCUAAGCUGUGGUCAGCUGACAUGGUACGGGGAGGGGGGGGCACUCUCCCAGAGCACCAGGGACCUGCCCCCUGUCCUGCCUAGGGACCAUCCAAUCCACCCAUCACUCAUCUACCCUGCAGGAGACUUUCUGAAGGAGGCCCAAAGGGUCGUCAGGGAAAGUACAGAAGACCAAUUUGGGGGGAGGAUUCAGUAUAGAGGGAGUGGCGAUGGGAGUCAGAAGACACCAUGGUAGAAACAGUGCACAAAUGUGGAGCCAAGAUGACUCAGGUUCUAAGUUCCAGCUCCCCUACUGAUGCUCUGGCAUCAGUUAGAUCUUUUAACCCCUGUCCCUCCCCCCAGCCUCCACUGCUUGAUCUGUAAAAUGAAGCUAAUAAGAUAAUAAGAAUACCUGCCUCUAAAAGGAAUGUAUGUGUUUUUCAACUAUAGAGUACCAUGAAGAUUAUUACUGUUGACAUCUGUGGCCCAGGCAGUACCAGACCAUAAGUCUGUCCUUCAGCAGUCAGAGCCGAUAACCAGGUGGCUACCCAGAUUAAAGAGCAGACAUCUGUGCAGCCUUCUAAAUGCCCAGGAAACAGCCAACUCAGGCGCGUUUUCACACCUCAUUACCCUGGGCUCUUGGUCCCUAGGUCCCUGCAGCCUGGACAAGGUACUGUGGCCUUGGGACAGCAUAGCCCUGAUGGUCAAGGCAAGUUCGCCUUCAUCCUCUUCUGACACUCAGCUGUGGUUGCAAAGUCUGAGAAUCCCGGGCCUGAGACAACACAUGUCCACCUCUUCUCCGCACUCUGAAGAGGCUGAACUAACACAGCGUGAGGCUUUAAGAAGUCACUUAAUCGCUCUGAGCCCACUUUUCUGCACUAAAAAAUGCAAUAACUGUGAGCCUCCAACCAGAUAAUGUUCGUGAAGCACUCUGUAAACAAUAAAACAUUAACCCCAAACA
Molecule: long non-coding RNA, 1079 nt
Filed under: Vulpes vulpes (red fox)
Lineage: Eukaryota; Metazoa; Chordata; Mammalia; Carnivora; Canidae
Description: lncRNA (ENSVVUG00000024104.1)
Source: RNAcentral